This 301-nucleotide ribosomal RNA is filed under the name uncultured bacterium. RNAcentral's name for it is "partial 16S ribosomal RNA". It matches the Rfam family "Bacterial small subunit ribosomal RNA", at positions 509 to 807 of the family's 1533-position model. The record is from RNAcentral.
CAGCAGCCGCGGUAAUACAGAGGGUGCGAGCGUUAAUCGGAUUUACUGGGCGUAAAGCGUGUGUAGGUUGUUGUUCAAGUCAGUUGUGAAAUCCCUGGGCUCAACCUGGGAACUGCUUCUGAGACUGAACGACUAGAGUACGGUAGAGGGUGGUGGAAUUUCCGGUGUAGCGGUGAAAUGCGUAGAUAUCGGAAGGAACAUCAAUGGCGAAGGCAGCCACCUGGGCCUGUACUGACACUGAGACACGAAAGCGUGGGGAUCAAACAGGAUUAGAUACCCCCGUAGUCCCUGUCUCUUAUAC